UACGUAGGUGGCGAGCGUUGUCCGGAUUUACUGGGCGUAAAGCGCGCGCAGGCGGUUCUGUAAGUCCUGGGUGAAAUCGCCCGGCUCAACUGGGCGGGGGCCUGGGGGACUGCGGGACUGGAGGGGCCUAGAGGCCGGUGGAACUCCCGGUGUAGUGGUGAAAUGCGUAGAGAUCGGGAAGAACACCAGUGGCGAAGGCGGCUCUCUGGGACGGUACUGACGCUGAGACGCGAAAGCGUGGGGAGCGAACAGG
RNAcentral lists this ribosomal RNA (253 nucleotides) under uncultured bacterium. RNAcentral's name for it is "partial 16S ribosomal RNA". It matches the Rfam family "Bacterial small subunit ribosomal RNA", at positions 524 to 776 of the family's 1533-position model. The record is from RNAcentral.